Molecule: long non-coding RNA, 373 nt
Organism: Rana temporaria (common frog)
Lineage: Eukaryota; Metazoa; Chordata; Amphibia; Anura; Ranidae
Exons: 4
Source: RefSeq, a predicted model, not a curated record
ACAAUGUCUUUCUGCAGGUAUAGUUCUAAAAAGCUUCCACUUGGAUCCCGAGCAACUGAAAGAGAAAUUGUUAAUUAUUCAAGAGCGUGAUGGCGGAUUGUCGGAUGAACAUCUGACUAAUCUCAGAAGAUAUGUCCCCACAGCAAAAGAUAUCAACAUGUAUAAAAACUACAAGGGACCUUUAUCUGAACUGCAUAUUGUGGACCAGUUCAUGCUGCAGAUGUGUAAGAUUCCUGAUUUGUGCCCAAGACUCGACACUCUGCUUACAAUACGAGAGCUACCCGGCAUUAUGAAAUAUCUGCAACCGUUACUUUUGCAGAAAGUUAAAGCAUGUAGCCAGCUGCUGAGCAGCCAAGCAUUUCCGGUGGUGCUG